RNAcentral lists this transfer RNA (72 nucleotides) under Nocardiopsaceae bacterium. Its description in RNAcentral is "tRNA-Arg". It matches the Rfam family "tRNA". Rfam says of the family: Transfer RNA (tRNA) molecules are approximately 80 nucleotides in length. Their secondary structure includes four short double-helical elements and three loops (D, anti-codon, and T loops). Further hydrogen bonds mediate the characteristic L-shaped molecular structure. tRNAs have two regions of fundamental functional importance: the anti-codon, which is responsible for specific mRNA codon recognition, and the 3' end, to which the tRNAs corresponding amino acid is attached (by aminoacyl-tRNA synthetases). tRNAs cope with the degeneracy of the genetic code in two manners: having more than one tRNA (with a specific anti-codon) for a particular amino acid; and 'wobble' base-pairing, i.e. permitting non-standard base-pairing at the 3rd anti-codon position. Lineage: Bacteria; Bacillati; Actinomycetota; Actinomycetes; Streptosporangiales; Nocardiopsidaceae. The record is from RNAcentral.
CGGCCUGUAGUGCAGGGGACAGCACGGCUCUCCCCUCAAGAGCAGGCGGCGGUUCGAGUCCGUCCAGGCCGG